UACGUAGGUGGCAAGCGUUGUCCGGAUUUAUUGGGGUUAAAGGGUGCGUAGGCGGCCUUGUAAGUCAGUGGUGAAAUACUCCAGCUUAACUGGAGGGGUGCCAAUGAUACUGCAGGGCUUGAGUACAGAUGAGGUAGGCGGAAUUGACGGUGUAGCGGUGAAAUGCAUAGAUAUCGUCAAGAACACCGAUAGCGAAGGCAGCUUACUGGGCUGUAACUGACGCUGAGGCACGAAAGUGUGGGGAUCAAACAGG
This 253-nucleotide ribosomal RNA is filed under the name uncultured bacterium. Its description in RNAcentral is "partial 16S ribosomal RNA". It matches the Rfam family "Bacterial small subunit ribosomal RNA", at positions 524 to 776 of the family's 1533-position model. The record is from RNAcentral.